Molecule: ribosomal RNA, 354 nt
Filed under: Escherichia coli
Lineage: Bacteria; Pseudomonadati; Pseudomonadota; Gammaproteobacteria; Enterobacterales; Enterobacteriaceae
Description: bacterial SSU rRNA
Rfam family: Bacterial small subunit ribosomal RNA
Source: RNAcentral
AAAUUGAAGAGUUUGAUCAUGGCUCAGAUUGAACGCUGGCGGCAGGCCUAACACAUGCAAGUCGAACGGUAACAGGAAGCGCUUGCUGCUUCGCUGACGAGUGGCGGACGGGUGAGUAAUGUCUGGGAAACUGCCUGAUGGAGGGGGAUAACUACUGGAAACGGUAGCUAAUACCGCAUAACGUCGCAAGACCAAAGAGGGGGACCUUCGGGCCUCUUGCCAUCGGAUGUGCCCAGAUGGGAUUAGCUUGUUGGUGGGGUAACGGCUCACCAAGGCGACGAUCCCUAGCUGGUCUGAGAGGAUGACCAGCCACACUGGAACUGAGACACGGUCCAGACUCCUACGGGAGGCAGC